This 29419-nucleotide long non-coding RNA is filed under the name Triticum aestivum (bread wheat). RNAcentral's name for it is "long non-coding RNA (TAES_LNC002676)". The record is from RNAcentral. Lineage: Eukaryota; Viridiplantae; Streptophyta; Magnoliopsida; Poales; Poaceae.
UCUUUUUUCUCUUUGGCUACAGGCCAUUUAUAUUUUCUUACCAUUGACCGUAUUGUGGGCUAUAUUAGUAUGUGAUGCUAUUUAUUGUACAUCAAAUUCAUAGUCCCUUGUACAUAUGGAGGUGUUAUGAACAUCAAUAGCACAUAUUGUUAAAUCAACAAUUUUGGUUUGUGAUAUCUAAAGAUGAGGGUGUAAGACUAGAAAAUCUUUCCUAUCUAUCCGAAAUAUUUUUCAUAUAAUUAUUGCUUGAGCGUAAUUAUUUGGAGCGCUAAAAUCUAUUAAUUGUUAGCUAAUUUUUUCAGUUCCCUUUAUUUCUGCAUGAGAACUGACAUAGCUUUGUUUCUUGUUUCAUUCCCUGCCCAGGUUCUUUGCUUGUUCGUUGCAUGUUGGUGUCGUUAGCUGGGAAGGUUAGACAUGCUUUCAUAGCUUGCUUUAUUAUUUGUGUGUGCCUGUGCUGCUGCUUGUGGGGUUAUCCUUCUGAUCUCAUCAGAAAAUAACACUAUUUGGUGCUUUCGAAGGCGUAUAUUCAUUUAGGUUCAUGUGCAUGUUUGUGUCAUUUUCAUUAUUUUCAGUACCCUUUCUUGCAUGGUCAAGCUAUAGCUUUCGGCAGUUCUGUUGCUCCUUGUUUGCCUGGUCAUUGUUUGUGUAUGGUCAAUCUAGUUGCUCGUACUUUCAUAUAUGUACUUUACGAUUCGCCAAAGUUUAUUCACAAAGAAUAUGCACAAGAAUGUGUACUUUGUGAUUCCCAAGACCACCUACUGUUGUUUACAUCUUCAUGGAUUUACUCUUGUUGCUCAUUGAUGCAUGAAAGUUAAUUGAUCCAUGUUUGCAACGUGCAUUAAGCCGUCUUUCCUUAUGCUUGUGCUGGAGAUUUGCUUCUUGGUGCUCCUUUUGGACAAAUAGAAGUCGGAUGUGCCCAGUUUUCUUUCUUUCUUAUUAAUGAUGCUUGUUUCGGUUCCCAGUGUAACACGUGGUUGCCGCUUGCGUGUGCGCAAAUCAAUGCCUGCUGCCGUGCUUAAGAAUUUACUGCAACGCCUCUUGCUGUUGCUUUAGUAUGUGUCCUUUAGAAUCUGACACAACACCACUUUAUUUUUACAUGUGCACACAAUGAUUCUUGUUGCUCGUUAAUACAUGCAGAUUAGUGAACCAUAUCCAGUAGAUUAUGUUGGGUAUCCAUUAUCACAUAAAGUGUCGUGUUCAAACCGUGCAUUUGUUUGGAACAGAUCAUGGUCAAACCUCAUACAAAACCAAGGCAGAAAGCGUCCCAACAAAGUGUUUCAAAAUGGCAGGGUCUGGAUAGGCGAUCCCUGGUUUCUGUGUGAUUUAGUGUGCACGACACACAAAGAGCAGUCUGCUGAGAACAAGCACCUUCUUAAAAGCACAUUUCUGUGAUGACAACACUUCUCCUUCCUUGAGCAACUUCUCCACGAGUGAUUUAGUUUUCUCAACACACGAAGGCUAUUCAAUAUCACGAGGGGUGGCAUCAGUACGGCAUCCCGUAUCAUCAAUACGAGUGGUGCCGUAUGACAGCUGGGGCCAUGCUUCGGUAGGGCCAGAAGCCAGCGGGUGGGUCUUGCCUAUGCAUCACCGGCGUUGCUUCAUCUCUCUCCUCCUGGUUGGCCGAGACGCUUGCGUGCGUGUGGAUUGGCUAGUGUGAGUGUCAGGGGUGGAAUUCUGCUACUUUAUUGGCUUGUUGUGUACCCUGUCUUGAUGGUGGUCCCGGUUCAUGGUUUGGCCCGCGGAGCAAUGGCUUGGGUAUUAUAUCAGUUGGGUUCAUCCGGGGUGCCCGCUGGUAAAGCAGUGCAGGCCUCCGUCCGUUGAGUUGAAGGGUGUGUCACGCUAGGUGAGGGUUGCACGCCACACUUCUACCCGGUUGAGAGAGGCUCCAUCGGUGCGAGUGGUCCCUGUGUUGUGUGGUCCCACUUGUCGGUUAAAUGGGUAAGAGCACCUGGGUUCUCUUGAAAAUUACAGCGGCUGUGUGGAUGGGGCUUGUCAGGGAUGCUAAGUGCCACGUUCGGUGAACCAGCGGCAGUGGGUGGAUGCGUGGCUCCUCGUCUCUCAUUGGCUUGUUUGCAUCUCGUCUUUUUCGCUCACUCUUUACAUUGUUCGCAUCUCGUCUCUCAUUUGCUUGUUCAUCUCUGGGCUGCCUGCUCGGGGAGGUAAACUCUUUCUUGCUCGUCUCUUGUUUGAUAAAAUGCCUUUGCGCUAACAUAGUACCUUUUAUUGUUUUGACAUUUCUCCUGCUAUUUUGUGGCUUUUUCCUUCCCAUCUCGUUAGAAACAACGACCAUUCUUUGCUUAUGGUUCUCUGCUUCCUGCUCUGGGAAAGAUAGGUUCAUGUCACUGUUAGAUGUCCAGGUCACUGUUUGUGCUGAUCAUUGGUUCUGUAUGCCCGAACCAAAGCCUAUUGCUUAAAAUAAUGUGCUUUGAAAUCCAAUAUAGCACCUCUUACUGUUGGCACAUAGUAGGAGUAAUUAUUGUUGCUCAUUGAUACGUUGGAGCUAAUUAGUUGCUCACUGAUACAUGGAAGCUAAUUUGCCAGCAAAUAAAAUGAAACUAUGGUUACAGUGUCGAGUAAGGCCUUUGUUUCGUAGGAAUCUGUGCCCCGAACUAAUUUUUGCUGCUUUAAAAUAUGCAUGUUGGUUGAAAGGAGUAAUUAUUCUUUGUUCAUGCAUGUUGCUUUUCUUGGUAGGAAGAUUCCAGUAGAAUAGAUGAUCAUUGUUCCUCUGUUCCCAAACUAAUUCUUGCUGCUUUAAAAUAGGUCCUUUAAAAUCCAACAGAACAGCUCUAGCUGUUGACAUAUGGAAGGAUUUCUUCUUGUUGCUCACUAAUAUAUGGAAGUUAAUUAACCAACAACUAAAAUGAAACUAUGGUUGCAUUGCCAAGUAAGUGUUUGUUUGUUGUUUACAUGCAUGCUGCUUUGCUUUUCAUUGUUCACACAUAAUAGUUGGUGCUUGUUGGCAUGGCUAAACAAAUAGUCCCUCGGUUCCCUAAUGUAAGACCUUGUAGCUAUUUCAGUAUUGACUUCAUAUGUACUAAAAUGAGUGAACAUAUAUACUAAAAUGUGUCUAGACACAUACAAACCAAGAAAAAGCAAAAAUGUCUUAUAGUAGUGAAUGGAGGGAGUAGUUGAUAUGUGGGGCACCUUCUCCUGUUUACAUAUGCAUGCAUAGUUCUUGUUGCUCAUUGACAAAUGGGAAUUGAUUAGCUAAACAUGAUCUUUCUUUUUGUCCCAUUUUGACUCUCUGAUUCUGGUUAUGUUUACUGUGUAGGUUGUUUGUCUGGCUGAGUGCUGACUUGUUUUCUGCUGCUUUGCCUGCUCGGCCUGUCAUCUGCUCGGCCUGUCAUCUGCUGCUUUGCCUCUGCUUGGCCUCUCUGAUUCUAGCCUCUGCUCGGCCUGUUGUCUGCUGCUUUGCCUGCCAAGGUUUGUGCUUGCCCUUUCUAAUUCUCUAUUCAUUAACCAAUGUAUGUCAUGUAGGGCCCUAAUUCCUUUUGUUUUGCAGGUCCUAUUGUUAUCGUCUACUGCUCUGUUGGCUCGCCAGCUGCUCGGUCUUGCCGUCGAAGUUUGUGUUCUUUGCUGAAGUUUUCAAUUCCUUUUAUUUCUGCAUGUGAACUGACAUAGCUCUGUUUCUUGUUUUGUUCCCUGUCCAGGUUCUUUGCUCGUUCGCUGCGCGUCGGUGUCGUUAGCUGACAAGGUUAGACAUGCUUUCAUUAGUUUGCUUUAUUAUUUGUGUGUGCCUGUCCUGCUGCUUGUGGGGUUAUCCUUCCGAUCUCAUAACAUUGCAUGGUGCUUUCGGAGGCGUAUAUUCAUUUAGGUUCAGCUCCAUGUUUGUGUGAUUUCCUUGAUUUUCAGUACCCUGUCUUGCAUGGUCAGGCUAUAGCUUUCGACAGUUCUGUUGCUCCUUGUUUGCCUGGUCAUUGUUUGUGUAUGGUCAAUCUAGUUGCUGGUGCUUUCAUAUAUGUACUUUGUGAUUUGCCAGAACAGCAACUGUUGUUUACCUCUGCAGAGAUUUAUUCUUGUUGCUCAUUGAUGCAUGAAAGUUAAGUCCAUGGUUACAACGUGCAUUAAGCCGUCUUUCCUUCUGCUUGUGCUGGGGAUUUGCUUGCCGUGUGCUCCUUUCGGACAAAUAGAAGUCGGAUGUGCAUAGUUUCUGGCUUUGUUACUAAUGAUACUUGUUUUGUUACCCAGUGUAACAUGCGAUUGCCGCUUGCGUGUGCGCAAUCCAAUGCCUCCUGCUUUAAUAUUCGUGUUUAAGAAUUUAGUGGUACGCCUCUUGAUGUUGCUUUAGUAUGGGUCUUAUAGAAUCCUACACAACACCACUUUCUUUUUACAUGUGCGGACAAUGAUUAUCAAUGUGUGCAUAGGUAGCCUUGAGGUAGCCUUGAGGCUACCUAUUUUUUGUUAUGAGAAUUACAAAUAUGCGGAAUUCAUGAUUAUUAUCAGCAUCUGUCAAUAUUUUGACAUGUUUCGUGUGAACCAUGAAUAGCUAGGCCUGAAAAUGAGGCAAUUUAUAACUGUCCUGUCAUGAUAUUUAUUGAGAAAAGAGCUGCUAAGUUUGUAUUGAGAAAAGAGCUGCUAAGUUCAAGCCGUGCAUUUCUUUUGAAUAGAUCAUGGUCAAACCUCAUACAAAACCAAAGCAGAAAGUGUCCUAACAAAGUGUUUCAAAAUGGCAGGAUCUGGAUAGGCGAUCCCUUGUUUCUGUGUGAUUUAGUUUGCACGACACACAAAGAGUAGUCUGCUGAGAACAAGCACCUUCUUAAAUGCACAUGUCUUUGAUGACAUCAACUUCUCCAUCCUUAAGCAACUUCUUCGCGAGAGAUUUAGUUUUCUCAACACCUGGAGGGCAUUUAAUAUUACAAAGGGCGGCAUCAGUACGCCUUCCUGUAUCAUCAAUAUCAGUGAGGAUAUAUUUGCAGGUAGGAUUAAAUACCCUUUUGUGCUUUCCCUCGUGCUGAUAGGCAUGUGCUUUGUCUCUUGGUGUUUGUGUAUUAUUCUUUAGUUCUAGUAUUAAUUAGUUCUGUCGUUGUCUAGUAUUUGCUGAGUUAAGAAUAUGAUGCUUGUGUGGUUGAUGAUCACAUCUAAUAACUCAGUGAUAUAGGUUGGGCCUCCCUUUUGAGCCUUGCUCUUUUUACUUGUGAACUGCAGCUAUUGAUCGAUGUUCUUCCAACCAAUUAUAUCUUGUUAUUGUAUUGAGCUAUCAUUUUGUUGGAACAUGUCAUAUGUUUGUGCUGUGGUUAGUUGGAACUUUAGUUCCCUUCUAGCACUGAUUUGGUGGCUUAAGAGAUGCUUUUUUGUCCCCAUCCACUGUCCAAGGCUUGAAUGUGCUGGCUUUUUUGCUCUCUAGAAAUGACUUAGUCCUUGAACAUUUGUUCGCGUCGAUGGGUAAUAGGCCUGAAAAUAAGGCCAUUUAUGACCGUCCGUUCAUGAUAUUAAUUGAGAAGGAGCUGCUAGCUUGUGUUGCGUAUCAGUUCUCACAUAUCUGUCAUGUUAAAAACGUGCAUUUCUUUUGAACAGGUCAUAUUCAAACCUUGUGCAAAACCAAGGCAGAAAUCAUCCCAACAAAGUGUGGCAGGAUCCAGAGAGGUGAUUCCUUGUUUCUGUGCGGUUUAGUUUGCUCAACACACUGGGUAGUCUUCUGAGAAAAAGCGUCUUCUUAAAAGCACAUGUCUUUGCUACACCAACUUCUCCAUCUAUGAGCAAAGGCUGCGUCCCUGAGAAGGAUUUGGUAAGCUUUUGAUGUCGAAUACCCACUAGAUUUAUUUCCUGUUUGAAUUAAGCCAACCAUUCUUCUAGUCUGUUUUUAUGUGAGUGAUCUUUUGCUCACUCUACUCUCCAGGUUAUUUGUCACCGAGGGAACUUGACAUGCUCAAGGGAGGUUAUUUGUCACUGAGGGGACUUGACACGCUCAAGGGCCACCUGGAGAUGGUUGUCAAGCGGAAGUGUCUCUCGUCGGCACUGACUUGGUGGUGGUUUCCGUGGUCUCCGAUGAAGGUUGCUGGGCGGCAGCCAUGGCCAACAAUGCAUGCACGGUCGAAGGCUCGGCUCAGCGACCGUGCUGUAUGACCUCGGCUAUAGUCGAUUAGGUAAGUUGCUGAUUUUCCUGGGUCUCGUCCUCUAGGCCUCACCUGCUCUGGGACCUUGCCUUCGAGCACUGCGUGCCGGCCAUCGAGCCGUGGUUGAUUCUGUGAUGCUAGACAACCAUGCUUUUGGCGAUGAUUGAUUCCAUGUUCACGUAGUUAAUAUAAUUAGGGUGACAGACUUGAACUGAUCUUAGUUUGGACCUAUGCCCAUCAGUUCAUUUAUAAACCAGAGCUUUGGAAGCUUGUUGUUUCAGUAGUAAAAUUUGGAAUCCCGUACAUUUACUCCCUCUGAUACUAAAUAUAAGUAGUUGUGGGAGUUUAGUUUACACUCCCGUAACGACUUAAAUUUAGGAACAGAGGUAGUAUUUGGUAAACUUUGACAUGUCUUUUCAAAGUUUUCUUGCUUUCUUGCUAAUGAUGAUUGUUUCGUUACCCAGUGUAACACAUGAUUGCCGCUUGUGUGUGCGCAAGCCAAUGCCUGUUGCUUUAAUAACCGUGAGUAAGAAUUUAGUGGAACGCCUUUUGUUGUUGCUUUAGUAUGUGUCCUUUAGAAUCCAACACAACACAGCUUUCUUUUUACAUGUUCACACAAUGAUUCUUGUUGCUCGUUAGUACAUGCAGACUUGUGAACCAUCCAAUAGAUGAGCCUUUGAUUUCAGUGUCAAGUUGUAUGUUGUUUGCUGUUUAUUCAUGUUAUGGUUUAGUCCUAGAUUAUCUCUGUAAAUGUUAUGUUAAGGUUUGCGUCUAUAGGUGCUAUAGGCUUGAAAAUGAGGCCAUUUAUGACUGUCCCUUCAUGAUAUGAAUUGAGAAAGGAGCUGCUAGCUUGUGUUGGGUAUCAGUUAUCACAUAUCUGUCAUGUUAAAAACGUGCAUUUCUUUUGAACAAAUCAUGUUCAAACCUUGUGCAAAACCAAGGCAGAAAGCGUCCCAACAAAGUGUGGCAAUAUGGCAGGUCCGGAGAGGUGAUCCCUUGUUACUGUGUGAUUUAGUUUUCUCAACACACAAGAGUAGUCUGCUGAGAACAAGCGUCUUCUUAUGUAGCAGAUUUAUUCCCUGUUUGAAUUAACCCAACCAACUUCUCCAUCUAUGAGAAGAGGCCGCGUCCUUGAGAAAGAUUCGGUAAGCUUUUGAUGUCGAAUAUGUAGCAGAUUUAUUCCCUAUUUGGAUUAAGCCAACCAUUCUUCUAGUCUUUUCCUGUUAAUAAUCUUUUACUCACUCCUCUAUUCUCCAGGUUGUUAUAGGUCACCGAGGAAAGUUGACACGCUCAAGGGUCACCUGGAGAUGGUCGUCAAGCUGAAGUUGCUUUCGUCGGCACUGACUUGGUGGUUGUUGUUGUGGUCCCCGACGACGGUUGCUGGGUGGCAGACAUGGCCUCCAAUGCGUGCACGGUCGAAGGCUCGACUCAGCGCCCGUGUUGCAUGACGUUGGGUAUAGUCGAUUUUGUAAGUUGAUGGUUUCUGGGUCCUCCCCUAUGCCAUUGAGCCGUGGUUGAUUCUGUGAUGCUAGACUGCCAUGCUUUUGGUGAUGAUUGCCUUCCAGCUAUGACUGCUUGGUUCCAUGUCCACGUAGCAUUAUACAUAUGUUGUUGCUGCAGUUUCCAUGACAAACUUGCAGUGAUCUUAGUUUGGACCUAUGCCCAUCAGUUCAUUUGUGAACCAGAGCUUUGGAAGCUUGAUGUUUCAGUAGUAAACUUUGAAAUUCGCUACAUAUAUUUUGUAAACUUUGACAUCUCUUUUUCAAGUCCAACUCUGGCUGUUUUGUCUUGUCUUGUUUCAUUGCCAACAUGGUUUAGGUUCAUGUUGUAAUAGUCAAGAGCAAGUUGGUAGCAACAUUAGGUUUAAGUAAAUCCGUGUGUUGUGCAAGUGUCAGUAUUCUAGCAGCUCAUAUGGAAUUCUCUGUGAUUUGUUCUUUCUAAUUUUGUUUCGCCCUUUUUUCAGGUUAUUCGAUUGGAGGUGACUCUUGGAAGGAGGUUACUCAUUGAGAUUGAUAAUCCAAAAGUGGCAAGAGGGCAGGAGAGGAAGAGAUAGCCUAGAUUUGGAGGCACUAGAUAAAAUGGCUAGGCGAGUUAUUUGCCGGCUGAGGAAUUAGUGUUGGAGGCUAAUGUCCUUUUUUAUUUGUGUGUGAUUUCUCUACUUUCUUGUCCUGGUGGCUACUUGAGCUAGCUAUGUAUGUACGUACGAACAAUGCAUGUUGUGAAUGAAAAAAAAAUGAAAUAAAAUUCUUCGCUUUUGUUGAUUCAUUUUUGGCUGAGUGCAAAUGGCUGGCUAGAUGGCAUGCUUAAUUUCCUUUUCCAUUCUCUGCUGAGCCCUGAGGCACUUAUUCUUGCCCUUGUGUACACGUUGCUGCGAUGUAGUAAAUGGGAAAAGGCAUUCCUGUGGCAGCAACUUAUUUGUGUCCGUUAUUUCCAUUUCAUAUGGCAGCAAUCUUUGUUUUAUCAUCCUUCUCAAAUUGAAUGUCCAAAUAAUCAAAUGUGAGCAUGGCCUCAUGAUUUGCUUAGAUUAUAUAUACUAUAGCUAAUACUCAAAUCUUAUUGGCCAAUCUGCCUCUCUAAAUCUACACAGAAACUUCUCUAAAUACACAUAGAAAUGCCUGAGCCAAACUGUGUGCAUAUACCAGCAGUAGACACAAAUGAAGAAGGAAAGAAACGUUGGUGGUUCAAAUAUGAAUAUAUGCCAGCAGCAGAUACAAUGGAGAAAGAAAAAAAGAAAGAAAGAAAGAUUGGUGGUUCAAAUAUAAAUAUAUGCCAGUAGCAAAUACAAUGGAGAAAGAAAGAUCGGAUUGGUGGUUCAAAUGUAAAUAUAUUCCAGAUGAAAGAAAGAUUGGUGGUUAAAAUAUAAAUAUAUCCCAGCAGUAAUGCAAUGGAGAUGAGAAAGAAAGCACGAGAGAAGAUCUGGCAACAAAACAACCAAGCAGCAGUAAAAGGAAACCGAUUGCGUAGUUUUAGGGAAUCCCACGGGCCAGAUCCAGCUGCUGCUGAUUACAAGGAAGGAAGGGAAACAAUAAAACGUCUGGCCGUGCACCUUUCAAGGAGCCGACGUUAAUUCUCUCCAAAACCAACAUAGUUGGCUCCAUUACUCCCUCCCUCCCUCCCUGCAUCUCGUUCGUCCAUGCGCAAUGUGAUCCAAUCCAUCUAUUGGCUCUCACUCGCCUCACGCGGAUCGGGCUCCCAUCCGUCGCCUCACGCGCCGCUCCUAUCGAUGUCUCUCUAUAAAUGGCCUCCUCUCCAUCCAAUCCCUCCCACUUUGCUCCUCUUCUCUCCUCGGUCCAAUGCCAAGCACAGCCUGCCCGAUCCAUCCAUCUGCUUCCAUUUAUCCAUGGAGACACAUGGUUUGCAAUUUGGCAGAGGGAACCCCUCCAAGCAGAUCCCCUCCCUCCAUUCUUCUCCAUGGGCUACGUACUACUCAUCAGGUACUUACUGAUUUUUCCUCACAAGUUACUAUUAGUGUUGAAUCCCAAUUUUGGUUAGUCUCCCUUGGGUUUGUUGAUUUCCUUCUCUAGAUGCCUGCAUAUCUGAUUGAAGUCUUGUUCAGGAAUGGCCGACGAUGUUUCAGUUGAUAAAACCAUCUCCCUUCUCACUGAGAGAAUAAAACCUGGAUACCUGUUUCAUUUGGCUUCUGCUUUAUAUAUGUUGAAUUUCUAUGUUUUAUAUAUGUUCAAUUUUUAUGCUUCCGAGUAAACUUGGGGUACUUGUCAUGAACAGAACAACCCAUGUUCUGCUUUUCUUUCAGAAGCUAGUGACUGAAUAUGGCAUAACUGAGAAAUAGAUAGUCACCUCUCUGAAUAUGUGCUGGUUUGACUAUGCGAACAUGGGGACUUUUAUCAUGCACACUGUGUCCUCUUUACCAUUUAAAUGCUUCGGCCCCUUGCUUAUGGUGUGAACUUUUGCCGCUGUUAUUGAAUUGUGUCAAGGCAAAGCACCAAUUUCUGCUCCCACCAUGUAAUUUGAGUCAUGCAUUUUUUUUAAUGAGUGAUGACAUAUAUAGCAGCGUACAAGUAAUCUCUUUAUGUGUCUUGGAGAUUAUACAUGCAUUCUAGUCUAAUGGAUACUGUAGGAUUAUAUAGGUUAAUAUUGGCUAGGAACAUGCUUAUGUUGUUUGGAUUUAAAACUUUGUAGAACGUAGCAAUCAAUAUGUGGGAGAAGAAAAAGUCUUACCGGACAUGUUUUUGAUUUGACGGUUUCACUCUUCUGACAUGUACAAUCUUGGUUUGCAUUUUCUGUCAUUAUAUUAUAUAUAGCUUUGAAGAAAAGAAACCCUGAUAUAUCGAAGAUACAUUUUAAUUUUGCCUUUCCGGAUUUCCUAAAAGACAUCGAGGUCCCUGUUUGUCAGUGGGAUCCCAUAACAAAAACAUCGAUUUGGCGAGAGGAGAAAGGCGAUUCUGCUCAAGUAGAGAAGGUUUCGAGAAAGGCACCGCUCAAAAGAAAAUAGAAAGGCGUAGGAAUAAAAUGAACGAAGAAAGAAGACGCCCGGCCCCGGUGGAGUAGUUGUAAUUUGUAAUGGUCUCCCUUCCAUGUGAAAUACGAAAUACAAGAAGACUUGUGAUUCUUCUCAACGCGUUAUGCUGCCGAAAUUUCUAGCGAAAUUUCCCCCGACUUCAGGGUGUCGGCUGUAAAAUGGUAGGCCCUUGUUUGUAUAAAAAUGAAAACUUUAGGGUGACGGCUACAAAAAUCAAAUGGCAUCAGUUCUUCUUUAAAACUUUAAUGUGAAAUGUUCUUUUUUUUCCAGCUCCUGACGGCGUCCCCACCUGUGGAUGUCGUGGUUGCCAAAGAUGGUAGCGGGGAUCAUGACACCAUCAGUGCGGCUGUGGCGGCAGCACCGCCAGGGGGUUCAAGGUACAUCAUCCACAUCAAGGAAGGACUGUAUCAGGAGAAGGUUGAAGUGCUCCAACGGAGCAAUGUCAUGCUCAUCGGAGAUGGAGCUGCUCGAACAGAGAUUAUUUAAUUUUGUUAGUGUGAUUUUUGUUGUAGGCGUUCCCCCCUUUUUAUCUUGUACUACCUUUGUUCAUUCUCCUUUUAUAAGACAUUUUAGACAUCCACUAUAUAUGAAAACAAAAGGAGGGAGUAGUAUAUAUAUAUCUGUAAAUUUCACAUGCACUUGUUCUGCAUAAUAUAAUUGGAAAACAAUUUCACCCGCGCGUGAGUGAAUGCAUGCUUGAGGUAACUAAAUGGUGCGCUGCUGCAUGCAGGCGCACAACGGAAAGGCAUCAUAAUUCGAGACUUGACCAUCGAAAACACAGCGGGGCCGGAAGCAAAACAAGCCGUGGCCCUUCUGUCCAACUCCAACAAAUCCGUAUUUUACCGCUGUCAGAUCCUGGGUUUCCAGGACACCUUGCUAGCCGAGAACUUUCUGCAGUUCUACAAGGAAUGUGAAAUCGCGGGGACGGUGGACUUCAUCUGGGGGGCUGCCGCUGCUGUGUUCCAAGAUUGUGUCCUUGUCGCGCGCCGCCCGGGCAUCAUGCAGCAGAAUGUGUUGACUGGCCAGGGACGCAACGGAGUCGACAAUGCCUCAGGGUUCACGUUCCAGGGAUGCAACGCGAGGACCGCCGCGGCGUCGAGACGUAUCUCGGGCGCCCAUGGCAGCCGUAUGCCCGGGUAAUCUUCAUCCACUGCCACAUGGACGCCAUAGUGCACCCCUUAUGGACAGGGUGGUUGCCCUGGAACAAUAACGUCACUGCCACGCGCACUGUCUUCUUCGCCGAGUUCGAGAACCAGGGUCCUGGAGCCGACGUGCGCGUUCGCGUCAACUGGGCUGGCUUCCACAACAUAAAAAAGGCGUCCAAGGCGGCCAAGUUUACUGUGAACAACUUCAUCGAUGGCGGCGCCUGGCUGCCGGAGACCGGCGUCCCGUACAAGGGGGGGGCUUUGAUGAUAUAUAAGUCCCCUAAAUCCUGUUUAUGUAUGUGCUCUCUACCCUCGCAUCGGAGUACGUGCGAUAUAUAGAUCGAUCGGGUCAAGAGAUCCACCCGCGAUCGUACCGAAUAUGUAUACCAGGACCAUGAGGACGCGUGACGUCCUGCUGUGUGUGGAAGGAGAACCACCAUAUAUUCUAAGUGUGUGUGGGUGUGUCUCUCUGAUCCUCAACACAUACGGAUUCUGUAAUAAUAUAUUUUGCGCGUGGUGUGUUCUGUUUGUAUCCCUCCUCUCCAGCUCUAUAAUUUCUGCUCAGCAUUAAAAGUGAUCUAUACUACUAAUCUUGCCAACGACAUGCAUUGCAUAGUUUGAAUCAAAAUAAAAUCGUUUUGGACCGAAUAAAAUUGCAUAGUUUAUUACCAGCCAAAUAAAAAUAAAAAAAGCUCUCACAUAGUUUUACAAACGAAUAAAAAAUAAAUAUGCAUCUAUUGGUUGCCAACAUGAGCCCACAUAUGCUCAACCCAAUCAUUUUGCAGUUGCACGUGAGUUUCCCAAUCACGCAUGUCUUCAUGAAAUUGGGUAAACUGUUCAAACGUUGCCGCUACUCCAUGCUCAGGCACAACAUUCUCACCCUGAAACUGAAACCCUUGAUCAUACAGACAUUCUGGGCGCUCGUCUUCUACGAUCAUAUUAUGCAUGAUCACACAAGCAGUCAUCACCUCCCACAGUUUUCGCGUGCUCCAGGUAUUAGCAGGAUACCGAACGAUGCCCCAUCGAGAUUGCAAAACACCAAAGGCACGCUCGACAUCCUUCCUAGCACUCUCUUGCUCUUGGGAAAAUCUUUUCCUCUUCUCUCCGACAGGGUUGGGUAUUGUCUUCACAAUAGUGGUCCACUGAGGAUAGAUACCGUCGCCCAUAUAGUAUCCUUUGUCGUAGGUGUGGCCGUUGACAGUAAAGUUCACCGGUGGGCUGUUGCCUUCGGCAAGCCUAGCAAACACAGGCGAGCGCUGAAGCACGUUGAUAUCAUUGUGUGAUCCGACCAUGCCAAAGAAAGAGUGCCAGAUCCAGAGAUCUUUAGACGCCACGACCUCAAGUAUGACAGUUCUUUCACUCCCAAUGCAUGCAGUCUAUACUACCAAGCAUCCCUGGGAAGCCCCUGCUGGCAUUCAUCGCCAACAAACUGGCUGUAUCUUCAGCAGUCGGCUCUCUCAAGUACUCAGGGCCAAACACAACAAUAACAGCCUUGCAGAACUUAUAUAGGGACUCUAGGCAAGUAGACUCGCUCAUACGGACGUACUCGUCAACGAGAUAACCGGGCACUCCGUAUGCAAGUAUUCGGAUGGCGGCAAUGCAUUUCUGAUAAGAGAAAAAACCAAUCUUGCCAACGGCAUCCUCUUUGCACUCGAAAUAGUCAUCAUAGCCGACCACCCCCUGUUUAAUACGGUUAAAAACAUGCCUACUCAUACGGAAACGACGGCGGAAUUUCUGAUGUUUGAACAACGAGUUUGUUGUAUCAAAGUAGUCCAUUCAAAGAAGGAAAUGCCCGCUCUCUCGGUUGCGAUUCAACGCCGGAAGGUGGCCCGGAAUGGAGCCAAGGAACAAUGGCCACUGGUUGUUGAGGUGGUGAUGGACCAACACGGCAGCGAAUAUCUCCUCCUCGUCAUAGGAGGACGAAUCGUCGGAGUCGCAAAGAAAAUUGUGAAAAAAGAACUCGUCGGCGGAGUCCAUUUUGUACCUUGGCAAACCGUCGAACAGCUUGCAGGCGUCGGCAAAGGAGACGGCCGGUGAAGGGAGUCGCAGCACGCACGGACCAGCUAGCUGUCCUGCCGGCGUUCGACGAGUGUGCCGCCGUCCGACGAGCGUGCCGCCGUCCGACGAGCGUGCCGCCGUCCGACGAGCGUGUCGGUGAGGAUCUGGCUGGGCGGCAAGGCGACUUCUUGGUCGGGGUGGCUGUGUGGUGGGGGGCGCGGGGGAUGGGAAGCAUUCGGCUCCCCGGCGGCAAGACGGUGGUGGCGGGCGACGUGGGAGUGGGCGGCGUAGCUGCACGGAUGUGGAGGCCCUGGCAGCUGGCCGAGUCGCCGGCAAAAAUGGGCAGCGGCGUCGGCGACGAAGGAGGAGGGCGAGGGUUGUUGUUGGAUGGGGAGGGCAAUGUGGCACAGACCAGCGGGCCCGAGGGAAGGACAGAGUGACCGUACGCGUGUCCGUCGUGUGUCCGCGCCGACGCAAAUCCGGCUCAAAAUUAGACCGGAAAUGGGUCGCCAGCGGACAAAAAGCGGACGCGCAUCCGUUUGGGUUGGCGUGUUGGGCUGCCUUUUGUAUCCGCGCCGACCCAAACGGACGGGGCGGACGAAAUGGGUCGCCCCGUUGGAGUUGCUCUAACCCACUUAAUUGUAUCUAAGAGCACAUAUUACUUUGGUGGUCUGCCAUCCAAAUGAAUGGACGAGAUUAAAUGUUCUGCCAGUCUGCCACCAACGUACGAUCUCCACGCAUACCGACUAAUCUGCUCACGACCUCAUAGUGUUUGUCCCUCUUCAUUUGUUACUAGAUCGUGAAUGGCGCGCGUUGCUGCGCCCGUGUAUUAGGAAUUUUGGAUGAAAUCGAUUUGCAUUUUUUUUUGUAAAAACAUGUAUUUUGCUUUUUAUAUAUUUUUAGGAUGUUAUGGGCCACGUAAUAGAAUUUUCUUUUUUUCUUGGGUUGUUGUGGGCCUUUUUUGUUUGUGAAGUGCACACGCAGUCACAUCAAUAGACCAUGGAUCACCUCAAAAAAAUAAUAGACCAUGGUUUUCUCAAAAAAAAAAGACCAUGAUGAGGCUCCCGUGGUCUUAAUUCUCCCAUAGAAGCUAGAGGCGGCAUGUUAAUGAAAUAUUAUAUGCUUAUCAAUGGGUGGCAAUAAUAAAGUGCUUAUGGCUUUUCAGUUUUCAUUCUUGAUUACGUAUUUGUAACUGAUGAGUAAAAAACUUCUUUUAAAGUAUUAUGUAAUGACCACUUGUUUUCUCGAACCCAAAAGAAGCAGAAAGGUGUGCGUGGUUGUCCCUGUCCCGCACCACAAAGCACGGUGCGGAGGCCCAGCUUGUCCUUGUCUCCGACAUCAUCACUGAGGAAGGAGUCCCAGCCGUCGUCGCUCGAGCCAUCAGAGUGACUGCUGAUGUUGGACAUUAUCGCCGACGCUCGGGAGUUGACGGAUUGGAGCGAAGCAGAGCAGAGUGAAAGGAGGCCAGGGUUUGCUUUAGAUGGGAAUUUUGUGGGACCAGACGUGCCCGGGCGCGUCAACGAGCUUCAAGGUCUUCAUCAUAUAUAUCAUCCUAGCCAGUAGCUUCACGUACGUACCACACAUGCAUGCAUAAAGAAAAAGAACUUCUUUGCAUGCGUGCAUGCACGUCACCCACCGAGCUCCUGACGCGAUGAUGAGCUUCAAGCCUGCUUCAACGUUCACGAUGCCAUGUAAUCAUUUUUUUGUUGCAAAGACAUAAAAUCUAUUAUAAAAGAUUCAUCGAAAGUAUCAAAAACAUCUCAAACAUAAUAAAUAUAACAUCGGGUCCAUGGACCACCAAACGACAAUUGACGUCGGCGGGACGAACCGUGGGCGCGCCCCUGCCACCGCUCUCAUACUAGAGCCGCCCUGAUCUUAUCGGUGACAGUCGAAAAGUCUUUGAUUCGGAGCUGCCCGCACGAAGCAACGGCCGAAGGUGGAGGAGGCCGACGGACGGGCCGGGCGCCGCCAAUUGAGCUGCCCUCGCAGAUCCGUGCGCGGGCGCCGCCGCACCUAAACCGGAGCUGCCGUCAGAGUUGCUGCACGUGGUCACACGUGCUCGGGAGAAAUGAAACGGGUUGGAGCAAAAGGAAACGGAUCGGAGUGAAAUGAGGCUAGGAUUUGCUCUGCAUGGGGAUCUUAUGGAGUCGACGUCUUGAAGGUCUUCAUCAUAUCAUCAUAGCUAGGAGUAGUAUAGCUAGUAGCUUCACGUACCACACAAUACAUGCAUGCAUAAAAUGAAAAACUUGUUUUCAUGCACGUCGUCGGCCUCCGAACCAACCCUCGCUGAGUGCGUGCAUGCGUUUUAUUCCAUCUCCAUCCACCAUGGCCAGCCCGUGCAUGGAUAUAUAGCUCAACACCAAGCAUCUUGCGGUUACACUUUGCCGUCCGCGUCCAAAUUGCUGCACUGCACUCAAUUCCAUCUGCAUCGGCCAGGGAUCGAUGAUAGAUCGAGUAGAUAGGCCAGCUACUUCGAGCCGGCGUCAUACCGCGAAACACGACCCAUCCGCCGUCCUCCCCGGAUGUGCUACGUACCACGACCGGGCUAUCUUGCCAUGCACGAACGGAUUGAAUGUGCACAACCCGUUUCUAUCUUUUUGGGAGCAGGCGAUGCAAAGUUUUUAUUUUUUUGGGAGUCAUCGACAACAUCAUAUGUCAUUCCCUUAGUAAACAUCUUUUUUUGCAAAGACAUAGAAUAUACUACAAAAGAUUCAUCGGAAGUACCAAAGCAUCUUAAACACAAUAAAAUAUAACAUUGGGUCCAGUGGCGGAGCCAGAAACUAGGAACGCCCCAGGCAAACUACUAGCUACAGUAAUAAACAGUAUAAAACUAGCAACAAUACAGAACACAGCCUCACGCCCCAGGCCACCGCCUGGGCAGUCUGGGGCUUGUCUCCGCCGGCAGGAUGAACUGCGGGCGCGGCCCUGCCGCCACUCUCAUACUAGAGCCCCCUAACCUUAUCGAUAACAGUCGAAAAGUCUUCGUGCAUGUGCCCCUAAGGACGAGCACCCUAGACCCACAACCAUCGACGUCGCCGUUUUUCUCCUAGGAUGGAUCUGAAGAACCUGAUCUCAAAUCUCGCCAUUGUAUAUAUAUGCAUGGUGAGAAACCUUAACCUCAUGCGCCCCGAGGAGCUCAUAGAAAACCUAACCUCAUGGUUGACCAGAGAAGGAUCGUAGGCCCGAAGGACUGACUCGAAUAAGAAAUGCGGCCAUGCGUACGAGUGACGCCCCUGCGAGGACUAAAUGCCUACCUAUCUAUUAACCGGAGCCAAGGCACCAGGAUUCAAGUGGCCACCGCCGUCCGGAGAUAGUCGUGUCAAGCGAAGCCUAGCCAAGCAAACAUGAAACAAAUCUUAUAAUCGUUUCUAGUUUUUCUUUUUACCGGCUGUCCUGGUGUUCUCAUGAAAAGAAUUGCCAUGUACAUUGAAGGCACAAAAUAAACAGUGUUCAAUAACUAGCAUUUCUCAAAAUCAUAUAUACUACUAGUAAGCCGGAUUUAAGACAAGUCGUUAUGUGAUGUGUGGUGUUGGGUUGGGCGUGUCUAUUCACUUCCAUAGUAUGUUCAUUAGUGUCGAUUGCUACUCACCUGACCCAAAGAGAUGGCUCAGUAGACAACACAAAGCUUCGAGAGCGCGACACGGUAGAUGGAUUGGUUGGACGUCCUUGCGGACAAGGUGGUCGGUGUUGGGGUAUUGUAGCCUCAAGGGCCACUCCGAUGAGACGCACUUGGUGUAUGAGAGAAAAUAAAAUACUCCCUCCUUCUCAUAAUAUAAUAGUGUUUUUGGCACUAGUGUGGUGUAAAAAAAAUGCUCUUAUAUUACGGGACGAAGGAAGUAGAUGGUAACACACUGGUGAGUGGGUCUCACGUGAAAAAAAAACCGAGCUAGAGGUUGCAGGUACAAAAACUAGCCAAAUACCCAUGCGUUGUCCGUGUACAAAGAUACAUUAACGCGAGACGUCGGUGAAACAUCAUCAAUUGCUAUUCACGGUGGGUACGUCACAUGUGACCGGUUUAAGAACGUGUUUCUGCGAUGACCAUACAUCAUGUUUAUUAUCUAUCGCAAUGAUUGGGUAUGGCUGUUUUUUGUAACGGAUUUUGUGAUAACCAAUCAAGGCACUUUAGGCCGGGGUGAUGGAGAUGGUGAAAGGAUUGACGGGUUUUAUUUAGUAAGUAGCGUGAUCCGCGUGACAUGGGGCAUCUGUCGUCGGAUCAAGAAAGGAUGGACGGCUGAGAUUGACGCCAUGAGGGCAAUCCGUGGGAGGACCGGGUUAACCAAUCAGCGCUCACUUCCCGGUCUUUCGCGAAUAAUUUGGAUGGCGCGCGCGCUCACGGAGACAAAUGAAUCUUAUCCAACCAACGGAGGCCCAAACCACCCACAGACCCAAUCUCUUCCUCCUCUCGCGACUCGCUCUGCGCCGCCGCUUCCGAUUCCCUUCCCUCAACCACAACCCCGCCGCCGCCGGCGGCGGCGGCGAGGGCGACGGCCUCCUCACCCACACCCGGGCCUGUCUCCCAUCGGCGCUGCCGCCCUACCCUCUCCCCUUCUCGAUCUGGAUCCCGAUCCGGUCAUGCGGCGUGCAGAUCCGCCACUGCGUACUCCUCCACCCACCCAACCGACGCCGACGACCACCCGUCGUCCUCCUCCUCCACGACCACGCAGCGGUAGAGCUCCCACCCAGCCAUGGAAGCCCCCUCCUUCCGCGCGCCGAAACCCUAGUCGACCGAGCAUGGGACCUCGCCAUGGAGUGGUACGGCAUCAAUCCCCUCGCCACCUUCUCUUUCUUCUUCCUGUUUUCUUCAUCACCUCUCGCAUCUGAUGCGUGCGUUCCAUCUGUACGUGCAGUUUGGGGGCUAUGGAGGAGAGGGAGAUGCUCCCGUCCGAUCUGGGGAAGGAGGAUGCCCACCAUUACCAGGCUGCUCAACCUCACCACCGUGAUUAUCUUGCCAAGGUGACCUCUUUCUCCCGCUCCCCCACUAUUGGUUUCGAUUCAGGCUCCUCUGCCCUUCCUGAUGCGGUUGGAUUCCUUAGGCACGCAGGCCACCAUGCGGUGGAUUCUUCGUCCUGAGAUUAAAACAUUCAUCCUGCGAUUGCUGGUGUGACUGCCGUCGUGAGCCCUGGCCUGAAUAGCUUCGUCAGGAAGAAGAAAACUGAGAGAGAAGAGACAGACUUGAAAUUUCAGAAAUGUUCAGUUUGCCCACUUCACAAUGUUUAGUCAUUUUCAGUAGCUUGUGCAAUGUUCUGGUCUGGCGAAUGAUUUUAGACGUGCAAAAGGGCAGUAGGUUUUUCGGCAUGGUCUUGGCAUAAAUAUUGAUCGUCAAACAGUUCUGGGUGUCGCAUCAUAUGCUAUUAAUGUCAUUCUGCCACCAACAAAUUACUCACCUGACAUUUUUGCUCUGUGAAUGAAAUACAAAGGCAACAUUUAUGUUUUAUUGCCUGCAAUUCCUAUUCAUGUUCUAGGCUUGGUUGAGUUCUGCUUUAUUUUCUAAGAAAUUAUGUGUUGGGUUUGGCACCGAGCUACUGCAUUGUUUGGACUUGGCACUUGGUUUCGUCGCUGCUAAGCUAUUGCAAGUGAUUCUGUUUAUUUGUGCCUUACAAGUAAGUGCUCAACUGAUUGAUGGUAACGCUAUACUGCAUAUUUUGCUCUUCAUGAAUGGGCAGCCCCUUCUCUUUGGAUGAUGUUAUUGUUCUAAUAGAGAGCAAUUUGUUGUAGCGACGAAUUUCCUUCCUCCCCUUCCAUGGUUGCAGCGAUUUAAUUUCCCACUAGCUAGCUCGGUUGGUUUGGUUUGGUUUGGUUUGGGUGCACCGAUCCAUGUAGUUUGUUUCUGUUGUAAAAAAUCCAUCAACUCAGAAACAAUUAAGUCUUUGGUUGUUCCAACAAAUCAGUGAUGCAGUAUAAAGCUUAUGGGUGUUUUUCUGUAUUCGAGUUUUCUCUCCUUAUUACAAGGAUAGCUUUGCCUCCAAAAUAUAUAGUUAUAACUUUACAGAUCAAAGAGAAAAAAAAUUUGUUUGCUCAAAGUUCCACCAUUGUCCUGUUCAAACUGUAAUAUUUAGAUGACAUGAAUCGUGAUCUAAGAGUUCAGUUCAGAUUUAAGGCGUGGAGAAAUAUGAUAAUCAAGUAGACUUAUGACCAUCACCGUGUUCACUUUGCUUUGGUUUCAGCUAGCCUGAUGUCUCUGCGUAAAAUAUUAAAUUAGCUGUUUGAAACUUUCUUCACAACAUGAAAAUUUAUAUAAGGCUACCAGGUCAUCUAUAAUUGGAUUAAAGAAAUGCUGAGUUAGCUUGAACAGUCCCCACAUAGAUUACUGGAUAAAUCAGAAACUGUAUGAAGUAAUAACUUCAACAAAGGAAAUCCCAGUGCACUUUUUACUUAUCACUUGCUAUGACCAUAGUAAUACAAUUGGUAUCGCCUCCUCUCCAUCAAUUUAUAUGAGUAUGUGUCUUAUUCUCCCAUCCAACACAUUUGCUCGAAUUAUGUGUUUAUUUACUAUUGUUUUCAUAUAGCAACUUCUGUUCUUGUGUAAUAUUUUAACAUCACUGGCAAUCAUUGUUAGGGUACGGUGGUGGUUGGCAUUCUGCUUGAUGCAGGCUGCACCUACUCCCACGACAGCGGUCAGCAACUAGGUGUUCGCCAUCGGAGUUCUUCAGUAUCGCCCCCUCUCCGUUGUGUAUGUGUAGUUUACUCUCCCAUGCCAAGUAUCUGCUUGAAUUAAGUUAGAUUCAGUAAGAAAAUUGGUUAGCUGAAUUUGGAUGGAUUGUGUCCCCAAGUGAAGAGCUGAAACAUUAUGUAUUUUAUUUUGGUCUUGUCCUCAAAUAUAUUUGUUUUGGGCAUAGCUAUCCUACAAGCUUAGUACUCGGGCUGUCAUAAUUUCUUUUGCGUACUUUGUACGUGCUUAGUCAGAUAUCUUAUUGGUUUUGUUCAUAGUUUGAGUCAGUUAUUGAACCAUCAAACAGAGCACCUCAUCUAUGGCCUGUUUGAUUGUGGCCUGAAGAAAAACAAGAACCAUUGGUUAGGAGUGUCGCUCAAUUCCUCUUAAUUUAUUAGUCCCAAUUUUGAUUGCAUCAGCCGCUUUGGGAGAUGUUCAUGUGCGCCACAAAAUUAACUUGAUCUGACAAUAGUACGAGGCUACCAGCCGGCCACUCUGUAGCUCCCAGUGUAGCUGGCUGGACUAUGCAGUUAUUUAAUUGGCGUUCAGAACUAGUGCCUUUGGUAGUUCCAGCAAAUCGGGAUUCAGUUGCGCUCUUCCGUUUAUCAGUGUACAAGUGUUUUGGAAUCUGCAUUGUUCAAGGUUUUAAUCUCCUCUAUCUGUACGGUACAUGACUUGCUUUUCUCAUGCAUGCAGACUAGAACAUAUGCAAGAUGCAGCAUAUGUUGGAGCAUGUCUGGCAGCCACACCAUCGUUGACAUGUGGGCGCCAGAGGAAGAGAUCGUGUGUGUGAGGGGGAAGGUGCCCAACAUCACCAGCUAGUCCAUCGACCUGCCCGCAUGAGAUCUUCAACUGCUAAAGGUGCCCGACCGUGGUGUGGCUUAGUGACAGAACGAUUACUGCCGCAGCCCUUUGGUUUGGACGCCGUCACUGACGGGAUGGCACUGGCUGUGUCGUAGCCUUCAUGUCCGGCUAGUAUGGCUUCGGUGGGCUACCUCCUUGUCGGCCACUACUCUGACCUCCCCCGUAGGGCGAUUAGGCUGCCUCGUCCUCAGUUCUGGUGAGUUUGUGGUCUCCCCCCCUAUCUCACUUGUGCCCCUGAGAUUGGCCGUCCUUCGAGCCGUGGCUGAUUGUGGUGUAGACCGUCGAACCAUUGAUUUGAGGGCCUGGUUAUGUGGUCAUGGCGCCUGUGCUGGAGGUCUUCUGACCAUCUUGUCUCUAGUCCCUAUUAUCCCUGUUAAGCAGCAAUGAGAACCUUGUGUUCUGAAUUUUGAAUCAAUGAACAAUCAGAUUUCAUUAGAAGUUGUGUUGCAGUAGCAGUUUCUUUAUGGAUUUGAGUUGUUAUUUUCACUGUUUUAGUUGGCAGACUACAUUCCUGAAAGUUACGGGGCUGUUUGGUUUGUGCCCAUCUCAGCCCUGCCAAAUCGUUGGCGCUGUUGGCUAGCCAAAAAAUUGGCGAACGAUUCCCUCGCCUGCGAUUCUGCCAACUAAUUGGCGCAAAAGAAGGAGGGAAGGCUGAGGCAGGGCUGGCAUGCCAAUUAUUUGGAUCCAAUCCAAACGCCACCACUAGGCUAGUCAACGACCAAUUUUUUGGUCGGGCAAGUCACGGAUCUAAACCAAACAACCCCUACAUAUUAGUCCUUCAUGUCUGUUUGGGUGGAGUGCUUCUACAUGGUUUUUUUGUAAAAAGACUCCACAUGAUAUUUCAUUCUGUGUUUUAAGAUAUUGUUCGGACUUUGGGUGGCAAAGUUAUGUUUUGAUUGAUUGAAACAUUAUCAAAUGGAUGUGAUCCAUCAAUAGUUGAGUGGGCCGGUGUUGGACUUGUCUGGUCAGAUUUUGAAAAUAUAGAUCUUAGUCUUUAAGGCAAGUGCCAAGUGGUGACAGAACGAAAUUGUUGGCCCAGUUAGUUCUGAGGUGCUUAUUAACAUCUUCCUUUUUUUGCUUUGUAGGCCAGGCCAGAGGAUCGGGUAGAGGAGUUGCCUGCAAUUCUACAUGCAAUGCAACCCAAGUGCAAUGAUGAUGUGACCCUACGGAUGCAGCAACAGUUCUUGGGCUUCAUCUCAUUACUUGUUGAGCGCAACAGCUGGCAGUGGUGAUGUCGUGCCAUGGCAGUGGCAGUGGUGUCUGCCUAGUUCUUGCUUCAGGUGAGUCCUUGGAUUCCUCUCUUUUUCUCUCUCUUGAUCGGAGCUGGUUUGGCCAUCGAGACGAUGAUUUAGUUGCAGAACAAGAGUGCCUACUGUGUAUGUGUAUGACAAAUACACCAACAAGAGUGAACAACAUCCAUAGUUGCAGAACUAUGUAGGGGGACAAUAAGAGCUAAUAUUUAACUUGUGUCGGAUUAUUUAAUGUUGUUCUUUUUGAGUUGAUGGCUUAUUUGAUAACUAGCUUUGCAAGCAUUGUUCGGCUACCUCGUAAUUACUAAUUGAAGAGUAUCUAGAUAUCCUGCUAUUUUUAUUUCUCAUGUCUUUCGAGCUUUUGCUUGUACUUUGGAUUCAUAUUAUUAAUAGUCUUUUUAUCUUACGAAAAAAGACAGCAUGUUGUCUUCUUGAAUGGGUUCCUAAGUGGUGCGUAGUGUUCAUAAGAGAGAGACCUGGCUUGGCAUUUCUUUUGAUUAUCACAGGAGACAAACAUUAUGAUAGCUUGGUUUAUCUAGCUUGAUUUUGUAAAAGCUCGUGGUCCGGUCUUUGCUAGGCUGAUGUUGUACAAUCUCUGUUGUCAUUUGUUUCAUUAAGCAUGCCCACCUUGUCCUUGUGCUAUCAGGUGAGAAUAGCCCUUAGUCUAUCUUAUGUUCACUAUUGAUGGGAUUGGACAAGGAGAGACAUAUCUAUUCCCAAGUGUUAUUGUUGUGCUUUGUAUUGCUGAAAAGUGUGGCAUACCUGACCUAUAUUCCGUGUGUUGUGCUAUGUGCAGUGAAUACAAUAAUAUGAUCACCAUGCUGCGUUUUCAGUUUGCAUCCCAUGGUUUUUGUUCUCAUGUUAGUUUACAAUUAUUAGCAUUUUUGGUUGCCGGUUAUAAUGAUUUAAUCUCAAGCCGAGACAUUUGGCUCAUCAGGAGCUUAGUUUUUUUGUUUCCCUAUAUUUCCUAACCAUCUUAAGGAGUGAUUCACACUACAUAAAUGGUUAUGAUAUAAACCCCUUUCCGAAGAAAGAAGCUUUAGGAAUAAGCUUAAGCCAUCAAAAGGUUUGUCUUGGUCAAGCUCAUUCCUGAGAUUAACCAUUGGUCGAGAGCAAAUUGUCUCAGGCAGCGGAUCGGAUGUAGGCCUCUCGGUAAUUGGAUGGUGUAUAUAGUCUCACUGGAAAAAAAAUAUAGGACAGCGGAUCAGAUGCAUUGCGAAUAAUCAAUAGCUCUUGUAAUCAGUGCCUCGGCAAUGUCACGUGUUCCCCUCACUGUCAUGUUCUUCCAUACAACAUAGCUGAAGUCCCAAAAAAGUGAGACAAUUUCACAUGCUAGGUGAUUUGGUGUGUACCAAAAUCCCAUGAUGUCAUAGCAUUUUAGCUUCCUAACUCGGUUCUUUAGAUAAUAGAAACUCUAGAGAGAUAAAAUUGCCCAUGUGUAACACUAUUCGACAAAUGUAGCGGUUCCAUAGAUUUGGGUUUCUUCCUUUCUCUUUCCUAUUAUCUUGCAUAAUUUGGCUUUUGAACUGAUUUGUUAAGCUUUUCUUUAUCAUGGUUCUAUUUUGCUGGUUCAAAUAAGUAUCUGCCCAAUGAUGAACAUUGCAUUUGAUACUUCCUGAUUAUUAAAGAGUAGCUAAGUGCAUAUCAUUUAUCAAUCAUCUACAUCUUUAAUUACUAAAGUUAGUUUUCCCAGAAACAGUAACUAUUUAGACAUACAUUUUUUCUUGAUUCACAUUUGUAAUUUAAAAUUUUGCGUGUGAUCUUGUGUGCCCUGAUUUUGUUUUUCAUAUUGAACGGAAGUUACUAUAAAUGUGCAUUUCAUUCCUAUAUGAAUUCCGGUCUUAAAAAUGAUCUGUUAGAGAGUGCAUGGCAAGUUAUAGGUAACAAACUGACUCUUCACAAGAUGGUUAUGUUGUUGCAAGUUAAGAUUCAAAAUGCAACUCAAAUUACAUUUAUUUUGCUGAGAGAAGGCUAGGACCUCCAGCCUUCCACUUGAUAGCUUGUCAUGCUUGCGUUGGCUGUAGUUUCUACUUCUACAUGAGUGUUAGUCAGGCUGGCCGGGUGCCAAUGAAUUCGUUUCUUUUCUUUUGGUUUUGUUGCUAAACUUUGUGCUUGUUCUGCUAUCGCUGAUAGUGGAACCUGAAGAAAAUUAUUGUUCUUGCUUCAUAUGGAAGGAAAAACACUUCCAGCAUUGCAACUGGUAGGAUGUUGCUGUACUAGUUAGCGAAAUCACCAUGCCGUUUUUUUCUUGGCUGUAUGUCUUGACCAUGACAUCAAAAAUUUGAUUUCUUGCUUAUAACACUUCAAUCCCCAAACAUCCUUGAUGUGCUCAUUCUAAUUCUAUUUUUUGUCAUGCAUCUGGUUGGAUGCUUGAAGAAGGAAAGACGCCUUGAAAGCUUUGUUUGAGGAUAGAUGAAGUUGGCUCCCGCCUGGUGGCUACGGUUCCCCAAGCGCCAGACCAUCCUCGUCCUCUGCUUGCUUCUUCUCCUUCAUGCACUUCAACAUGGACCGUGUGAGUUCCUUUGUUCUCCAGACCUACUUAUCUGCUCACUACAGUGGUCAUUGAGUGCUGAUCGUGUAGAUAGAACAUGAGUAUCCAGUAUGCUCUUUCUUCGUUUACCAUCCUUCCUGGUUCACCAUGAUGGACCAUGAUCGAGAUUUUUUUUUAUGUUUUGUCUCCAUGCUUGUGCAUUGACAUCCAUCUCUUCAUCUAGGAGAUGAAGAGAGAUGAGUGUUUAUGUUUGUCCCUGUGCUUGCGCAUUGAUAUCCAUCUCUUCAUCCUGGCGGCACAGAAUUUUUUACCUAUUUACAUUUUGCAUGUUUCUUAUUCGUCCCUCGUGAUAUCUCAGUGGUGCCACUGUUUUGGGACUGAAAUUUCUGGCCAUUUGUACUUCCACAUUCGUUAAACAAGAAAAUGGCCGGGACUUUGUAUAAACUUGAAUAUACACAUCUGUUCAUCACUUGUACUCCCACUGCUUUUCUUCCUUCUCUAUUCUUUUCGCUCUGGGCAUGUAGUCAUCCAUGGCCUCUGUGCCCUGGCUACAUAGGUUUUGGCUCUGGUGGCCUCAAUAGGCUCAGGAAAACGUCAUUGGAUGUGUGUUCAAGUAUGUGUGUUUGUUCUAGUUUGCUUGGUGCAUGUCUAUUUUAUUUUUUGCACAUUGUGACUCUUUCUGCUACUCUGCGUUUUGGUUGCAUAUUCUUUUGAAGUGUCGUUGCGUUUCAAACUGUUUAAUUUAAGUGAUUCACUCUUUUAAUUUAAGUGAUAGUUGGUACUACAUAUCAAUCAAACUAGCAGUACAUGUCCUCACAUAUUGAGAAAAGAACAUAUAAUCUCUCCUAUGAUAUUUGAGUUUGCAAAUUUCUUUUGAUAAAUUAUGAUGAUAUUGAACUGCUGUUUAGUGCAAUGCUUUUUGUGGUAAAAAUAGUUUGGGAAUCUUGAAAAGGAUGAAUCAUGCUUGCUCAUGCCUUUUUUUAUCUUGUAUGGCGCAGAUUAAUAUGGUUGAGAAGCUUGCCGUAUAAGCAGCCACCAUGUCUGGGCUGCCAAGCAGAGUUAUUACCGAGUGUGUGCUCAUGGACUAUGACAUGGAAACAAUGCUGCUCAACACGAGUUUGCUCGGCAAAGCAGCUCUGCCUGUGUCGAAGCUCAUUCCUGCGCGGCGCCUCUGGUGGCCACUUCUUCGAAUAAGGCAUAGGUAAGCCACUUGGGUUGCUCGUCCCUGCUUUCUUGUAUGCUUUGUGUGCCCAUCCAUGGUCAUUGAGCCGUGGUAGCAGUGCGGCAUUGUGAUGGUUUAUGGGCCUUUUAGAAAGGCAUGUGUAGUGCAGGUGCUAUGUAAUUUGUUCUUCUUAGAUGGUCAGGAUGCUUCUUAUUGAAUGGUUAGGAUGUCUCUUUGUUCAACAUAGCUAUUGUUUAUGAUUGCUUAAGCAUGUGUAUUAUGAAUGGCACUACAUGAAGUAGCUUCUAUUACCAAGUGAUUACUACUUUGUAAGAGUAAGCCUACUACGGUUCUGCUCUUGGUUAGAAGCAUGCAUGUUUUAUUCUUUCCAUGUGUUAGCAAUUUAUAAAAUUGGGAAUUUAUGCCUAUGAACAAUGUAGAUCUUCUCAUGAACAUCUAAACUGAUAUUUUUAUCUGUCUUCAUUCAAUUUAGUGUAUACUAGGAGAUGUAGACACACUCUGUAUCUUGGUACUGAUGUGCUCGUCAUGUGUUUUUUGGUUGUGUGUGGCUCAGAUAAAUAUGUCUGGUAAGCUUGGCGUACAGGAAAUAUGGAACCACCAUGGCCGGGGUGCCAGGCAGAGUUGUUCCUAUCUGUGUGUUCAUGGAGACAAAUGCUUUUCAUCAUGAGUUUGGCCGGCAAAGCAGCUCUGGUUGUGCCAGCACUCUAUCCCUUCUUGGCGCCUCCCGGUGGCCACUUCUUCGAAUCCAGUGUAGGUGAGCCACUUUGGUUGCUCUCUGCUGCUUUCUUGUAUGCUCUGUGUGCCCAUCCAUGGUCAUCAAGCUGUGGUAGUAAUUUGGCAUUGUGAUGAUUUAUAGUCCUUUUAGCCAAGCAUGUAGUGUAGGUGUUGUGUAAUUUGUAUCUCUUAGAUGGUCAAUAUGUUUCUUGUUGAAUAGUCAGGAUGUCUCUUGUUGAACACAGCUCUUGUUUUUAAUUAAGUUCUCUCGUUAUUAUGAUUGCUUAAGCAUGUGUGUUAUGAAUGGCACUGCAUGUAGCUUCUGGGUGUAAGACCUUGUUCUUCCCUUGAUAGAAUUUUGAUGGAGUAGUUUUGGUAAGAAGAGGGCUUGUUUAUUUCUAGGUGAUGCUAAGCUACCUAGGUUAAAUUCCCUGAAGUAAUUUAACGGCUUGAGUUAAAUAAACAUCUAUGCACGCAUGCUUCUUGGCCAUGGUAGGUGAUUCUUUCUUGGUCUAGUAGUCCGAUAAUAUUGUAGAAGAGAAGAAGAGAUACCCUCUGUUUGAUAUUUUACUGAGUGUGAGCUGUAGUUUGGUUCUGCUGGAUAAGAAUGCUUGACCUAUUCCAGUUUUGGAAUCUAACUUAGUUUGGUGCUCAUCAUUUUUCUUAGUUCUCGAUAUAUGUAUAAUGAACUGGAGAUAGAUAGUUUAUGCUACUGUUUGAUAGAGAUUAGUUCCUGAUUGUUAUUGUGCUACUUCCACAUAUUCCACUGAAAAGAGUGUUGCUUGGACUUCUAGUCUAUCUCAGAUCUCCUAAUUUAUUUGUUUGUUCGAUUCAGAGCAGUAGGCGUUCUCCAUGGACGACAUCAAUGAGGAACAUGCAGGACCACGCGCCCAAGCUGUCAAGCUCGACGUGGACAUCAUUGGGUUGUACCUCUACCCCGAGGCGACGACGAUGCCGAAGGUUGCUCUCUACUCCGCCCUCCCACCCAAGAUGCUUUUUUCUCCCAAGUUAUCGCUGCUCUGCUCUAACAUAGUUUCUAGACACUCAUAUCAUGUCCGUGUUCACAGUGGUCUAGUAUCUAGCUCUAGCCCAGUUGCUAUUGUUAUUCGACAUAGUCUCCAAAGUUCCAUGGUGCGAAGUGGCUUUGGCCUAUCUUCUGGUUGAACUCCAGUACCAAUGUAGACGUUGCUGCUUCACUCAACUUAAUUUUUUGCGCCGUCAUCAAGGGCCAUGCUCUGCUCAGGAUGCCUCUCUUCCCCCUGCUCUGAUGCCAUCAAGCAUCACCAACUCGAUGCAAGGGGAGGAGUAGCCAGGAGGCUUCUUCUUUUGUUGACGCGGCCAUGGAAGGUCUCCCUUCUCCUCCUUCUCCCUCUCUAUUGUUUGAUUUGGUGGUUCCAUAAUGUAGUUCCUCACACGCACAUGUGUAGGACAGAGCCAGCUCCACCCCGGCCCCUCCGGUAGCCCCGAUUCCUCUUCCACACCAGCGUGGAUGAUGGUAAGCCACUGACCGGUACUCUCCUCUGCUCCCUCCGAUGGUCUUGGUGCUUGCUUGUCCAUAGCCAUCGAGCUGUAGUAAACUCUGGGCUGGGCUGCUGGCCAUUGUGUCGUCCAUGGAAGGCUUCUAGGAGUUGAUGGUCACAUUUGCACUCAUAUUGGACAGGCUAGAGCCUACUACUAUUGAUCUUUAGUUGAGAUGGUAGGUCUUGCGUUGAUAUUGGAUUGGCAUGCAUCAUAGGUCAUGAAUGAUACACAGUUCAAUGGCACCAUUAAUCCUAUUUCUAACAGUGAGCUAAUUAUGUUUCCAUGCACAAACUAGAACAAGUUACUCCUAGAGUUGCAAUGUUUAAGGUACUAUCAUUAAUAUCCUCAUUCUUGUUGCAUCCCUGCAUAUUUUCUCUCUCUCAAUUAAUUUAGUUACUAACUUGUGUCAACAGACUAGCUACAGCCAGCCAUUGAUCUCAUCCUUGGAUGAACAUUAUCUUCAACUUGAGUUUUCAGAAAACGACAUAACAUGCAUCCUCAGCCUUGUUGCAUCCCCCUAUAUUUUCUCUCUCUCAACUAAUUUAGUUAAUAAACUCUAUGAACAGACUAGUUACAGGCAACUAUUUUCUUCCUCUUGUGAAGUUCCACCACAGAUUGUGUCUUGGGAUGAAUAUUUCCCCCCUCUUGAUCUUUAUAUAUUAUUCAUGAAUAUGAUGCUACGGGGUUGAGCCUGUGAUGUCAUAGUCACACUUGGCUUGCUGAUCUUCCUUUCUAUUUUGAUCAGUGAGUUCAGCUUGCUACUAUUUUAGUUAUAUUUUGCAUCGGUGUGAGCGUCUUUUUUCUCUUUGGCUACAGGCCAUUUAUAUUUUCUUACCACUGACCGUAUUGUGGGCUAUAUUAGUAUGUGAUGCUAUUUAUUGUACAUCAAAUUCAUAGUCCCUUGUACAUAUGGAGGUGUUAUGAACAUCAGUAGCACAUAUUGUUAAAUCAACAAUUUUGGUUUGUGAUAUCUAAAGAUGAGGGUGUAAGACUAGAAAAUCUUUCCUAUCUAUCCGAAAUAUUUUUCAUAUAAUUAUUGCUUGAGCGUAAUUAUUUGGAGCGCUAAAAUCU